This 255-nucleotide ribosomal RNA is filed under the name uncultured archaeon. RNAcentral describes it as "partial 16S ribosomal RNA". It matches the Rfam family "Archaeal small subunit ribosomal RNA", at positions 728 to 982 of the family's 1478-position model. The record is from RNAcentral.
AUUAGACUACCCUGUACGUCCCAGCCGUAACUAUGCUCGCUAGGUGUCAGGCAUGGCGCGACCGUGUCUGGUGCCGCAGGGAAGCCGUGAAGCGAGCCACCUGGGAAGUACGGCCGCAAGGCUGAAACUUAAAGGAAUUGGCGGGGGAGCACAACAACGGGUGGAGCCUGCGGUUUAAUUGGACUCAACGCCGGACAACUCACCGGGGACGACAGCAAUAUGUAGGCCAGGCUGAAGACCUUGCCUGAAUCGCUG